UGUGAAGGUCCGCAAGGCAG
RNAcentral lists this unclassified non-coding RNA (20 nucleotides) under Mus musculus (house mouse). RNAcentral's name for it is "oocyte_clustered_small_RNA13806". The record is from RNAcentral. Lineage: Eukaryota; Metazoa; Chordata; Mammalia; Rodentia; Muridae.